CACUCUCCUUGCUGAACAUUCUCCUUCCAAGAGAGGAGAGAGAAUAGUGACUCUGUUGUUCAGCAGAUUCACCACAGUACUUAGUCACCCCAUCCUCUGCAUCCUCUGGCCUCUCUAUACCAAGUCCAUCCUGUAUGCUCAAGGCUUUGCAUCCUGCAUGUUCUGGGUCCUCUCCCUACACAAUUUAAAUCAUUUAAAGAACUUUCUUACAAAAGACUAAGGGAAACCUAGCCCCUGCUUUGAGAUUUUAAUAACAUAGCCUGGGGCAUGAAACUUACCUCAGAACACUUGGCUUUUGACUAGAUCCUUUUUUGUAUAAGUUGUUACAGUGCACAUGUUCUCAAAAACGCUUCUUUCGGGGUUCUGAGGAACAGCUACUGCUAUAAUAGAUACAACUGCUGUACAGACAGCUACAGCAAUGUUAACCUCGGGCGUUAAGGAGCCUGGAAAUCAUGUAAAGAAACAGGUAAGAACAGCAGAAGUGCUGAUAGAAGCUGAUGUUAGACUUUCCUGUUCUGGCACUAGUGGACAAAACCAACCAUCUCGUGGUUUUUACGUUGUUGUUGCCAUAAUAAAAAGGACGGUGAGGGAAACCUUGUUCUAGCCUGCAAGCUUGUUAUAGUACAGAAGUGAUAUUCUUUUCUAGCUCAUCUAUCUCUGUUCUAGUUAAAGGGGUAGAGGAGCAAGUCCAAGUCCACUUCUUCAUAUCAGAAUGUUUCAUUUAUUUGAGUCAAAUUAGUCACUGGUGAAUCUCUGCUGACUUCAGUAAAGGCUAGAAACGUCCAUACAUGUGUACCUGGGAUCUCCAGAAUGGAUAGCAAGGGGCUAAAGAACAGAGCGAUCCUGUUUAAUCAGGAAUUAUGAAAAGUUGUUUUUUAAAUUAUAAGUUUUUUAAUAAGCCAGGAGAAACCUGAAGUACAAACAACAUUGUGGGGACCCUGCACAGGAGGGUGCGAAUGAGCGUGCCUCCAGGGCUCGGGCUCUGGCUCUGUUCUGGGGCCCCCUCAUAUGGAUAAGGCCAGGCCUCCAGCAAUGUGUGAUCAGCCCAGUGUAGGAGGUGCUCUUAGUCCUGAGCUGAAACUGGGAUUUCUAAACACCUUCCCCCAUCUCCAUCUACCAGUAGCCUCUGACUUUCCCUCCUCUCGUUCUCACCCCACUGGAGAUGUGCAGGCACCCUCAUAGGAUUGUGAGCAUCCUACACUUCCCUUAUGUGUUUGCAACCCUCUUUCAGCACCCAUACCUUUCCCAGUAGUGGUGGGAAAUUGAGAGCAAGUGUUUGUGUGCAUUUCCCAGGAGAAGGCUGGGGGAGGUUCAUUGUGAAAAGAAGUCAUACAUUGUGAACAGGUCACUUCUGGCACCGCCUGGAAUAGAGAUCAAGUCCCCAAAAUGGCAAACAGUAGCUCUAAUAUACUCAGUCAGGCUGUCUUUUUUAUAUUGAAUAUGUCAAAGGUAUGUGCUUGGCUACCCAUUUUGUAACAACUUCAGUAACCGCUGCUGUAGACUACAUUCUCCUCCCAAUGCCACAAACUGAACCCAGGAAUCCUGAUUCCCACUAUUCUGUUUCUAGCAAAUAUUUGUGUAGCCCACAGGCAAUGUAUGUCAGGUCCCUUUUAGCGAUCAUGGGCCAUACAGGGUCAGAUACUCCUUUUGCUUAGUGAUAGAGGCCUCUCGUAAGUCUAAUUUGCAGGUCCAAUAUGUAAAUCUUGAUGCUGACUCAUAGAGAUUCUUCUGUUUGCAAGAGAUGGAACUUCUGUUAUUUCCCCCCUCCCCAGUUUCUUUUGUAAUAGAUUUUCCGGAGUUGGUGAGUGAACUUCUUUGAGUGUCUAUGUUUACAUGAGUAGAGGCAUGUCUGUAUGCUCAUCUGCAUAUGCUUUUUAUUGUUGCAUGCCUGGGGGUCUGCAAUGAGGGGCAGGGAGUGGAAAUAUUUCAAAUCAAUCCACCCCAGACAAAUAUUCAUUCCCUUUCACUGUCCCUUGUGCAGUAAUAACAAUGUGACUUUUAGAAAGAGUAUAAAGUCUGGACAGGGCAAAAUGAGAAGACACCCCUCUAUGUGUAAAUCCCCUAUGGGAUCCCUCUAGGUGGUAGUAUUGAUCAUAGGAACAUAUGGAGGCUUCUGGAUGGCCCAAGAUAUUGGAUGGUGAAGAUGCAUGAUCCCCUACAAUAUCUGGGGGCAAUGACCCAUUUCUUUGGGUUUCCUGACCUCCAUUUGUGCUCUUUGUUUCAGCUCUUGCCUAUUUGCUGUUUGACGAAGAACCCUCAAUUGGUAGAAAUAUCUUUGCCAUCUUUGAGCAGAUGAACUGGCCUGCACCGCACAGACAGUCCUUCUCACUGAGAAGCCACUUCUACUACAGCUUCUCAUGAUUGGCACAGGAAGCCAGAAAAAAUUGGACAGUUGCUCUCCUGAAAAGGCUCUCCUCCUACUUCUGUUGACCAGGGAACAACCACCAUGGAAUACCAAUGCACGGGGGAGUCAGUCCUGCCCCCUAUUGCGAUGCUGCCUCAUCACAGAAUGUAAAGCAAGAACAUCACUGUACAACAGAAGGGGAUAGACUGUCAACUUGCCAGAAGGCUGGUGGCUGAAACUUAAUUUGUAGAUAGGCUUGUAUAAA
This is a long non-coding RNA of Trachemys scripta elegans, 2609 nucleotides long. RefSeq lists it as uncharacterized. The transcript is spliced from 3 exons. Lineage: Eukaryota; Metazoa; Chordata; Testudines; Emydidae. The record is from RefSeq and is a predicted model, not a curated record.